GGGGUGAGGGAGGGAGACUGAAGGCACAUGCCUCCUCACGGGACACAAGGUCAGGGGCAGUGAGGAGGGAUAAGAGUACAAUAGAGGGUUGUGUGACACAGAUGGGCAGCCACCCCCCACCCCACCUCCUCUCCAGCACAUGAGGGCUGCGAACUUGAAAGAAUCAAGUGACUCCCUUUGGCAGGCCAAAAGAGAUGCGUCCGCUUGAAGGCCAUGUCAUCUGAAAUUGGCCGAAAGAGCUGUCCUACUUAGGACGGAAACCUCCCAUUUGGGUGUGGAAAAGCGGAGCACUGGGGGGUGGGGUCACAGGGGGAUAUUUCACUGAGGUUAACAAAGUGGUGGCUAGAGAGACUGCGCAGGGAGGUGGGAAGAACAGACUUGGAGGACUGGGAUUUCGGUUUUGUCUCCACCACUUAUUAGCUGAGCAAACGACAGCUGUGAGCUCUAGUUUCUUCACCUGCAAAAAUCCCUGGUGACAGGGGUGCCUGGGUGGGUCGUUAAACGUCUGGCUUCGGCUCAGGUCAUGAUCUCACAGUUGGUGAGUUUGAGCCCUGCAUCGGGCUCUGCGCGGACAGUGUGGAGCCUGCUUGGGAUUCUCUCUCCUGUCAAAUAAGUAAAAAUAAAACUUUAAAGAAAUUUUAAAAACAUCUCAAGUGAUAAGUGGUCCCAUUUAUUGAAUUAUGUGAAUUUUUAAUCUUUACAACAGCACUAAGAAGUAAUUAUUUCUACAUCCAUAAUAUAAAUGAGGAAACUGAGGCUUAGGGAGGUUGAGAACAUUUUCAAAAUUUACAUAAAAUUUACAAACCUCGUGAAUGGCAGCACUGGAAUUCAAACUCAUGUCUUGAUUUAAAAUCUGGUGAUGUUAACCAUUUAUAUCUUCUGCCUCUCUUCCAUGGGUUUGUGUGAAGGACUAAAUGAUGUCCAGUUUUCCUGGAAUGUUGGUAAUUAAUUUGACUACUAACUGCCUAAUUGUUCUGAUAUUUCAAUCUUAGUUUUAGAGAAUAGAUUUGUAUCUGUGUAUUUAUAUUAUUUUUCAAGCAUAAUUACUUUUUAAAUUUUUUCCCUUCUUCUUUAUGUUUUCUUUUGUUCAGUUUAUUUUGCCACAUAAUUGCUUUUUAAGGAAGGGUACAUCUUUUGAACAUCACAAAAACAGAAAACAAUUAGCAUACUCUUGCCAGGGAAGUAUAGAACUUUAUUGACUGUAAUUAUCCAUAAAUGGCCAUGGGAAGGGGCUGUGGACUGGAAGUCUGGGGAAGAGGCUUUAACCCAAGGCUUGGGGGUCACUGUCCUGUGUUUAUCUUAGCCCAGCAGUCCCUUGCAGCAUGAAUAGCCUACGAUUCCUUGUAACUUUAGAAGAGGAUGCAAUCCAGAAGGAUAUAAUUCUAAGUGAAAUUCUGUUGUUGAGUAUUAAUAAUAUGUGGAGGGGCUCUAAGCAAGUAAUAGAUGAGAGACCGAAACUGUGAAUUAAAGAAGAUAAUUUCUAACUUCUUUUCACUUGUGAUGUUCUAUCAUCCAAAUGAUACUACGUUGUAAUCUCAGUGCACUCUGCAGUAUUUCAAAGGAUUUACCUUUGAUCCUUUCUGAUGCUCACAGGGACAAUAUGAAGGGGCGAGGAGAGUGGUUUUAUCUGCUGUCUACGGAUGAAGGAGCUACAGAUGAAGUGGUGGCCAGGUCACUACAUAGUUGGGGACACAGCUGAGAAAGACAGACUUUCUGCCCCCUGCUCUGUCCCCUAUGCCACCUCAUUCCCUGGCUCAGUAAAUAAAUAUUAACUGUUAGAGAACGUUGCUUAAUACAAACUGCAUCUUAUUCUAGUUGGACAGAGGAGUAAUCCUCAGUGAUGAAUUCCUUUUUGGAAAGUUCAAAGUAUUUAGUUCAUCAGUUUUUGAGCCAUCUGUAGGAUCGACAAGGAUAGGACACAUGAUACUUGCAACUUUCUCCCAAUUCAAAAUGACAAAAGCUGGAGAGUGGAUUUUACUUUCUCUUUUCAACUUAAAAAAGACAAGCAGGUAAUAUGUGAGGCUCUUUUUUUUUUUAACUUUUUAUUUAUUUAUUUUUUACUUAUUUUUAGAGAGUGAGAGAGACCAUGCAAGCUGGGAAGAGGGACAGAGGAAGAGUGAGAGAAUCUUAACAUGGUGCUUGACGUGGGAAUCAACACAGGGCUCGAUCCCAUGACCCUGGGACCAUGACCUGAGCUGAAAUCAAAAGUCGGAUGCUUAACUGACUGAGCCACCCAGGUAACCCUGUUAAGCUGUCUUUGACCUAAGACACUUUUCCUAAAACAAUCAUGAGCCUUUGAAGACAUUUAGCAACAAUGACUAAGCAAGUUCUCUUUCAAGUACAUAUACUUAAAUACCAUUGCCUCGUUUGUGGAAAAGAUUCAUUAAUUUUUUUAAAUGUUUAUUUAUUUUGAGGGCGAGCAUGUGCGAGCAGGGGAGGGGCAGAGAGGGAGGGAGAGAGAGAAUCCCAAGCAGGCUCCAUGCUGUGAGCACAGAGCUUGACAUGGGGCUCGAUCUCACAAACCAUGAGAUCAGGACUUGAGCUAAAAUCAAGAGUCGGAUGCUAAACUGACUGAGCUACCCAGGUGCCCCUAGAAAAGGCUCAUUUAACUUUUCACUCUUUAAAAAAAAUUAACGUACUUAGUAUUGGUGAAGUAGGUCACUGUUAUUUUAUAGCAGUUUUACAUGCAUGUAAUAAGAAAAAAUGUGUAUCAGUACAGAAGAGUAUAAAAUGAACGUGAUCUCUAUACCAUUCCUGCCCAGGCUGACACUCCCAACACAAGCACUGUUAACAGCUACUCCUGUCACGUAGUACUUACUAUUGUAAUUGAAAAUAAUAUGCUUACAGCUGUUUCUCAAUUCAUCAGCUUUGGAAAGUGUCUACUGACUUCCAUCUAUGAAAGAUAAGGAAGAAUAUUUAUACUUUCUCCCAACUUUUCUAUCUCCUAAUGUGUGUUAGCUCCAUUAUUUGUAAUUCACUUCAGUAGUUAGUAUUUCUCUUUUUUCUGAAAACUAUAUUUUAAAAAAUUCUUUGUAGCUUUAAUAAUACUCAAACUUCUACAUCUGGAAUUAUUUAUUUAGAUAAGGCACUCUUGAUUCCCAGUCAUGUGAUAGGCUCUACUUCUAAGUUUUUCUUUUAUGGAUAGAUUUACACAUAUACCUAAGUAUAUAUGGAUACAGAUAUAUACACAUGGAAUAUACACAUGGUUAUGGUUUACUGUAUUUAUAUUUGGCUCUGUGAUUAUAAGUAAGUCUUCUGAAGAUUAAAAGAGUUAAUCCAUAUAAAGCAUUCAGCACAGUGCCAGGCACAUAGGUCCUCUGUAACGGCCAGCUAUGAUUAACAACUGAGUAGUAUAGAUGAACCUCCACUGAGAAGGAAAUGUAAUGUUAUUUCAUUGAACUUCUGCGGCUUAAAUGAGAUUCUUCUAAACUUGAAUAACUAAUGGAGUCUUACUCCUCCCUCCAUUCCUUUCCUCCUUUCCUUGCUUCCAUCACUUCCUUUGGGUCAUACUCACCACAGCUUCUUGUUGUCUUUCUUGGAUUACAACUUGUUGGGUUACUCCUUGGAACUUCGGUUUUGUUUUGUAUGGGAAGUAAGCUUUCUGAGCCUUGAGUGUCUAAAAUUGUUUUUAAGUCCUCAAAUUUGAUUAACAGUUUGGCCAAGUUUAAAAUUCUAAGAUCUAUUUUCCCCCCUCAGUAACUUGGAAUACAUUCUGCUAACGAUGCACCAGGGCAGGGUUUGGUCUGUUUGGUUCAUCGAUCUAUCACAAGGACCUAGAAAAGUUUCGAGCACAGAGUAGACACUCUGUGUAUAUAUAUUAUAUUAGGAUUUUUGUUUUGUUCUUAGAAUUCUACAAUUUCACCAGGGUGUCUAGAUGUACUUUUGUUUGCUUUCCCUGCCCUAUAAUUGGUGGGUUUUGUCAACCUAAAAACUCUUUAGUGUAAGGAAAUUUAUUUCACCACUUUCUUGACUAUUUUUCUCCAUGGUCAUCCCCUAUACCUUCUAGAAUCGCCUUUAGAGAAAUAUUAGAUUUCUUUGAGCUACCUUCCAUAUCUUAAUUUUUUCUCAUAUUCUACGUCAUUUCACUUCCUUUAUCUUCCAGGUAACCAACUCGAUCUUCCAUCGUAUUUAUAUUAUUAUUUAGCAAUUCCAUUGGACGUUUUUAUUUUUACUUUCCAACAACUCUUUCAUGUUGUCUGACGGUUUUCUUUUCUUUUCUUUUCUUUUUUAACAUCUAUUUAUUUUUGUGAGACAGAGAGAGACAGAGAAUGAGCAGGGGAGGAACAGAGAGAGAGAGACACACAGAAUCUGAAGCAGGCUCCAGGCUCUGAGCUGUCAGCACAGAGCCCGACACAGGGCUCAAACCCAUGAACCGUGAGAUCAUGACCUGAGCUGAAGUCAGUUGCUUAACCAACUGAGCCACCCAGGCACCCCUGAUGGUUACUUUUCAUCACAAACUAUAAUUGUCUUAAAAGAAUGCAGGUUAUAAAUUCUCCUCAUAUGAAUUAGCAUUUUUAUUGCUCUUAUAUUUGGCUCUGUGAUUAUAAGUAAGCCUUCUGAAGAUUAAAAGAGUUAAUCCAUAUAAAGCACUCAGCACAAUUUAAAAAUUGUUUUAAAUAUUAAUUGUAUUAAUUGGCUAAUAUAGGUGUUAAUGAUGUGAGUGCUCUGUGUGUGCAUCACUAGGUGUUUUUUUUUGUUGUUGUUUAAUAUGCUAAGUGCUUAGGUUGUCUUUUUUCUUCAGCUUCAGUUAUUUAUUUUUCUAAGGCUCUCCCUUUUUGUAUUGUUUGUUCUCACAAGUCUGAGGCUCCCUGCUGUCCUUCUAUACCAACACCUUAAUUUAGUAUCUGGUAGCUUGUGUGGGUUUCCUCUUCGGGGGGUUUUGCGUUAGUCUCUCUACGCUUUUUCACUGGAAUAGAAUGAUGACAGCGGUGGUUGUAGAAGCAGGUGGAGUCUGGAGGCGGGAAGGCCUCCCUGCAGGGUUUCCUGUGGGCAAAGCGCAAACAAGGGGAUCCGGGAACCCAGAGGUUUCCAGGUGGGGGUGCAUCUGAAGUCUGAUGAUUUCCAGUCUGAGUUUAUCACAGACAUUCAGAAUUUCUUCAGUAUCUCCUCUUAGCCACAACAUCCUCAGCAAGAACGCUCUCUGAGCCGAUAGCUGGCUUUCUAGAGGGCAGCGCGUUGGCUUUUAGCCAGAGGGCAAAAGUCCCAGCUGCCAAGCUGUGUUUACACAUGUGGAGGAAAGGGGCCCAGCUGUCUCUAGACACUGCAUCUGGCCCUUUAAUGAGGCCACUGGAGGUGGCCCCACAGCCCAUCAUCUUAUUGAUGACUGAGUGUGAGCUCCCUUGGGGGUGGGGAGGGCACCUUGGGAAGACACAUGCUCAUUUCUUGUGCCCUGGCUUACAGUUUUCUCUGCACUUUCUUUCAGGUCAUCUGUCUGCUUUUCUCUUUCAGAAAUGUCUCAGCACUUUUGGCCAGCUGAUGACGCUUUUUCUCACAUUCUCUCUACAAGAUCUUUUUUGUUACUUUGAUGGGAAUAUGGGAGACAGGAGAGGCAAAUGCAUGUGCUUAAUCUACCACUGUGUACACACACACACACACACACACACACACACACACACACACAAAACACAUGUGCAUUUGAAAAGAUACAAUAACACAUCCAGUUAAUCCUUUGUGGGGAAGAUGAAGUCCUAUAAAUUGACAGAAUCAAUCUCUCAAUUCUUUACUUGGUUCUAGUGUUUUGCCCAGUUUAUGCUUAUUUAGAAUAUUUCAUACUGAACAAUGUGUCAGGAAUUAUAAAGUCUGAAAAUAAAAAAAAACUUUUAAAGUGACAUUUUAGAAUAUUUUCUAAAAUUAUUUGUACAUCAAAUGAAGUAUCUGGUCAUUGUUGCUUUUCCAGUUCCCUUACUCAUGGAUCAAGGCUGGAGUCCCCCCACUCCACAGCAAGUCCAUGGGCCGCUGGCCGAGGCACUGUUUUAGGCAUAAUUCUGAAAGGAGCACUGUUCAGCUCUUAGAUCCUCGGGGCAUAUCAAUGUCAUUUGCAUUCUCCUGAUUCCAAUUCCUUUCCUGAGAAAUUCCUUGAACAAGUGUUUAACUUACAAACAACAAAAAGUUUUUAUUAAGGGGCAUCUAGGCGGCUCAGUUGGUUUAGAAUCCAACUCUUGAUUUUGGGCUCGGUGCUAAGUGUGGAGCCUGUUUAAGAUUCAUUCUCUCUCUCUCUCUCUCUCUCUCUCUCUCUCUCUCUCUCCCCCGCUUCUAAAAUAAAAGAAAAAGAAAAAAUGCACUAAAAACCCCCAAAACUGAACCCAAACUCUGAAAUGAGCAACAUGGCCAAAUCUGGGCUCCACAGUGCCCUAACUCUGCCCUAUGGGCAAAUGACUUAAAACUUUCUAAGCCUUACUUUCUGAAUUUGAAAAUGGCCAUAAUAAUAGUACCUACACCUACACAGGCUGAUUUUGAGAAUUAAGAGAAUGUGUUAAUUCCCUUAGCACGGUUCCGAACACAUAGUAAGGGCGUCAUUAGAGGUUAGUAGUUAACAUUCACAAAUAAUUCACAGCUACAUCACAGAACAGUUCUGUAAUAGACCAUCAAUCCCUUCUUGUGAAGAUACUGAUAAAAUAUAGGAAAAUAUUUAUUUCCUUGUUCCAUCUGCUUGGUCUUUUGGCACGUUUUUUUAUUGCAGUAAAAUAUAAAUAAUAUAAAUAAAUAAUACAUAUAAAUAAAUAAAAUAAUAUGAAUAUAAAAUUUACCAUUUUUAAGUGCACAGUUCAGUGGCGUAAGUACAGUCACAUCUUGCAGAACUGAAUCUCUGUACCCAUCAGACAACAAGUCCCCAUCUCCCCUAAUCCUUGGAAACUACCGUCUGCUUUCUGUCUCUGUGACUCUGAUUGCUGUGGAUACUCCACAUGAAGGGAAUCCCACAAUAUUUGUCCUUUUGUGACAGGCUUAUUUCACUUAGUAAAAUGUCCUCAACGUUCAAUGUAGCAUGUGUGAAUUUCACUCCUUUUCCAUCAUAUGUAGAGACCACGUUUUGCUUAUCUGUUUAUCUGGUGAUGAACACUGGUUGCUCCCACUUUUAGGCUAUUAUGAAAAAUGCUGCCAUGAACACGGUGUACGUUCUGCCCAAGUCCCUGCUUUCAUUCCCUUUGGGUGUGUACCCAGAGGGGAGGUGCUGGGUCAUAUGGCAGCAGCUUUUUUUGUUCAUUCUUCUCAUUUGGUAUCCCAUGUCAGUUUGCACUCUUGUGUUUGAGAGAUUUAUGUCACACACCAGAUUUGUUUUUUUCUUUGUAUCCCAAGUAUGCUGAUGCAGCUUUUCUAAUUUUUUUUUAAUGUUUAUUUAUUUCUGAGACAGAGAGACAGAGCAUGAGUGGGGGAGGGGCAGAGAGAGAGGGAGACACAGAAUCAGAAGCUGGCUCCAGGCUCCGAGCUGUCAGCACAGAGCCCGAUGUGGGGCUCAAACUCACAAACCUUGAGAUCAUGACCUGAGCUGGAGUCGAUCGCCCAGCCAACUGAGCCACCCAAAUGCCCCCAGAUGCAGCUUUUCAAAGAGGGGAGACAGAGUCUCUUGCUAAGCUGGACCAGGUGAUGACUCACCUGGCGGGAUCUGCUCACCAGUCCCAAGGGCUCCUCUGGGGAUGAGGUGUCCUCUCUGUGGCGCUGUUUAUUUAAGACAG
RNAcentral lists this long non-coding RNA (7670 nucleotides) under Lynx pardinus (Iberian lynx). Lineage: Eukaryota; Metazoa; Chordata; Mammalia; Carnivora; Felidae. The record is from RNAcentral.